AACUUGAUGCAGCCACCGCCAUGCUUGAGAAUAUGAUAGACCACUGCACCACUCUGCAAACUAAGGCACUGCAUCGCAGUUGCUAGCUGUGCCACUAGAGAUCCUGGUUCGAGUUCAGGCUCUGUCGCAGCCGGCCGCGACGGGGAGACACGUGGGGCGGCGCACAAUUGGCCCAGCGUCGUCCGGGUUAGGGGAGGGUUUGGCCGGCAGGGAUGUCCUUGUCCCAUCGCGCUCUAGCUACUCCUGUGGCGAGCCGGGCGCAGUGCACGCUGACACGGUCGCCAGGUGUAUGGCGUUUCCUCCGACACAUUGGUGUGGCUGACUUCCUUAGUUAAGAGGGCAUUGUGUCAAGAAGCUGUGCGGCUUGGUUGGGUCGUGUGUCAAGAAGCAUGGCUCUCGAGCCUCGCCCGAGUCCGUACGGGAGUUGCAGCGAUGAGACAAGACUAACUGCCAAUUGGAUAUCACGAAAUUGGUGAGAAAAAGGGGUAAACGUAAUUAAAAAAAAAAUGUAAACCUUGACGAGUGGUACUCAGUGAUGUGUUGUGUUUGUCUCAAACAAAAAAAGAAUUUCUUUGUCACAUUUUUUGCAGUUUUACUUUUUGCCUUACUGCAAACAGGAAGCACGUUUUGGAAUACUUUUAUUCUGUACAGGAUUAUUUUUUUUCACUCCGUCAAUUAGGUUAGUAUUGUGGAGUAAUUACAAUGUUGUUGAUCCAUCCUCAGAGUUAUUAAUGGUUAUGAUAGGAGAACUAACUAUUUUAAAGUCACAAUUGGCUUCAUGGUGAAAUCCCUGAGCCGUUUCCUUCCUCCCCAGCACCUGAGUUAGGAAGGACACCUGUUACUUUGUAGUGACUGGGUGUAUUGAUAAACCAUCCAAAAGUGUCAUUAAAAACUUCACAACGCUCAAAGAGAUAUUCAAAGUCUGCUUGUUUAGCUAUACCUUUGAGCAUGGUGAAGUUAUUAAUUACACUUUGGAUGGUGUAUCAAUACACCCAGUCACUACAAAUAUUCCGGCAUCUACGUUAGGAAGGUGUAAGGUAGGAAACCGCUCAGGGAUUUCACAAUGACGCCAAUGGUGACAUUAAAACAGUUAGUUUAAUGGCUGUGAUAGAAUAGGAGGAUGGAUCAACAACAUUGUAGUUACUCCACAAUACUAACCUAAAUGACAGAGUGAAAAGGACAAAGCCUCUACAGAAUAAUACAAAUAUUCCAAAACAGGCACCAAAUUUAAACUGGAAAAAAUGUGGCAAAGAAAUUAACUUUAUGUCCUGAAUACAAAGCUUUAUGUUUGGGGUAAAUCCAACACAACACAGCACUGAGUACCACUCAUCAUAUUUCCAAGAAUGGUGUUGGCUGCAGUUUAUGGGUAUGUAUGCUUGUCAUCAGCAAGGACUGGGGAGUUUUUCCAGGUUAAAAAAUAAACGGAAUAGAGUUAAGCACCGGCAAAAUCCUAGAGGAAAACCUGGUUCAGUCUGCUUUCCACCAGACACUGGGAUAUUAAUUCACCUUUCAGCAGGACAAUAACCUAAAACACAAGGCCAAAUCUACACCGGAGUUGCUUACCAAGAGAACAUUAAAU
This 1579-nucleotide long non-coding RNA is filed under the name Salmo salar (Atlantic salmon). RNAcentral's name for it is "lncRNA (ENSSSAG00000098727.1)". The record is from RNAcentral. Lineage: Eukaryota; Metazoa; Chordata; Actinopteri; Salmoniformes; Salmonidae.